UUUCCUAAUAACAUUCUCAACAAUGCAUCAUACAUAUAAUUCAUAAAUCAUGUUUGUAUUAAACCAAUUUAAGAGAGGGUAGUGUUGGAUUCUAGAAACCUAAAAAUUUGAUGAUGGAACUCUUUACGUAUUUUUCACCCUCAGAGAUUUAUUAUAUAAAUAUCCAUUUAAGAGAAUA
Molecule: small RNA, 178 nt
Filed under: Arabidopsis thaliana (thale cress)
Lineage: Eukaryota; Viridiplantae; Streptophyta; Magnoliopsida; Brassicales; Brassicaceae
Description: ATSL220470
Source: RNAcentral